RNAcentral lists this transfer RNA (68 nucleotides) under Rattus norvegicus (Norway rat). It matches the Rfam family "tRNA". From Rfam's summary of the family: Transfer RNA (tRNA) molecules are approximately 80 nucleotides in length. Lineage: Eukaryota; Metazoa; Chordata; Mammalia; Rodentia; Muridae. The record is from Rfam by way of RNAcentral.
GGGGAUUUGGCUCAGUGGUAGAGCGCUUGCCUAGGAAGCGCAAGGUCCUGGGUUCGAUCCCCAGCCCG